GUGGACGUGUUGUUGAGUUGAGUGUCUUUACCUCUAGGGCAACAUGGCAGGGUCCUCUGGAGCCUCAUCAUCAACCUUGACAGUGACUCCAAUGAAGGCAACCACCAGGAAUACCCCAACAUUGUCUGUCACCAUCCCCACAGUGGCCCCUGCCAUGCCAACCAGUAGGACAAGUUCAUCAGUCAGUGAAGCACCUAAUACAGAUCCUACUGGUGACACUAGAGUCCCAAUGGAAUCAUCAACUUCAUCACCUGCAACUGAGCCUUCCCAAUACUCUCAGCCACUAACUCCAUCACAAUCAUCCAAUGGCAGCACCACCACACAAACCUCUACAGGUUUUACAGCUGACACUACUAUGAAUCAGACCCUAACUGGAAUAGUUGGUUAUGACUCAACAUCCUCAAUCUUCUCAUCAACUUUGUCGCCAAGCUCUGAUUUUACGACAGGGAACAUGAGCUCAAGCACAGAAAGUGAUGGGAGACAUGUCUUAUCAAGGAGUCCGGGCCUCGUAGCAGUCCUCUGCAUAUUCUGCAUCUGUCUGGGUCUUCUGCUGGCCGUUGGAAUUGCAAAGCUCAUUACUCCCAGAGGUUCAACAUUUCAGAGGCUUGAAGAUGUGCCAUUGGGCAAAAUAAAUGAAGAGUCUCCAUUUGCCCGUUACCCUGAAAAACAAUUCUGAAAGAAAACACAUCAUGAGAGAAGAAUAUCUCCUCCCAGGUUGGUCAGCAGCAUACUGAAGUCGAUCGUUGGUACUGUUCAUUCACAGGUGGAUGGAUGCAUCAAGGAACUGAAUACAGAAGAUGCACAGACAAUGUCUGCGUUUACACAGGUAGCCCAAUUCUGAUCUUUUGCCAAAUUUUUAGCGAAAGAUCUGAUUUGUCAAAAAUACCAAUUAUUGGCACAAUAUCAGAAUUGGUCUGCCUUUAUAAACACAGCCAAUGUGUCAGGUAUCACUAGAAAUAAAGCUAUGAAAAAAGCUAUAAUAAAGCCAAAUUCUCUGUUUCUUGAAAAGACUAUGACAAACAGGCCUAAUUUUUGUAUGGGUUGAAAUAAAUAAAUGAUUGCAUUGAA
Oncorhynchus tshawytscha (Chinook salmon) is the source of this 1068-nucleotide long non-coding RNA. The record is from Ensembl. Lineage: Eukaryota; Metazoa; Chordata; Actinopteri; Salmoniformes; Salmonidae.